GGCAGUGUGGUGCACUGUGGGUGAAGCACACAUCCCAUCUGUACGGUCUAUCUGUUCCCAGACGUACCUGUAGCUCAUGCGAGCGGUUAUAGAAGCCCUGGAACAGCAGUCUGUAGAUGAACUCCGGGAAGCUGACCCGCGGGAGGUCCUCCGCCGCCCGGGGCCUGUCCGCCUGGAGGGCCGAGGCUACUCUGCUGGCCCCCCUGCAGACCGCCGGGGCCGGCGCGAGAGGACGCGGCAGGAGCCGGCCGCCGUUCCCCAGCCGCACCGCUCUCCAGGACAGCCAGGCAGCCAUAACAGAGACCGCGCAGCAAAUGCACAGACGUCUCCUGUUACAUUAGAAAGAGGGGCCGAGCAGGAAGCGGCCACGGCCCACACAGGCUUAACCCUUCCCACGCACCAAAUGAGGAACCAGAGGAGCCAGGAAAUCAACAAAACAAGGACAUACUUACACACUGAGGCAUCCAGGAGCUGAGCAGAACUCCGAGGUCGUCACAGGGCAGUGGACAGGUUUCUUCUGCGAGGGAGGCCCAGAGACUCCGGUGCAGACAACACAAACACACCCAAUCCUUAAGUAUCUGCAUGAAACCUGGACAGUAGGAGCAACUUUACCAGCUUUAAACCUCUCAAAGGGAUUGAACGGGUUAAGAUCAGCCAGAUGCUGAGUUCAGGGAUGGAAAGAGAAAAUCAAGAACUCAUCAUUAAAUAUGCUUCAGUGAAAUCCAGAGGAGCAGUUGCACCCUUCAAACAUCUGACAGGAAAUAGAAGACGAAGGGUCCGUUUUGUGCAGCAGGAAGUGUCCCUGAACCUGCGCGGCGCUGAUCUCAGCGUGAGCGGCCAGGGCUCGCUCCGCGAAGCGCUCGCCCUCCGACGGGGGCUCCAGUGGGUAGAACCGCUGGAACAUCUGGC
Long non-coding RNA from Salarias fasciatus (jewelled blenny), 909 nucleotides. RefSeq lists it as uncharacterized. The transcript is spliced from 4 exons. NCBI's taxonomy places the organism in Eukaryota, Metazoa, Chordata, Actinopteri, Blenniiformes, Blenniidae. The record is from RefSeq and is a predicted model, not a curated record.